Non-coding RNA from Paramuricea clavata, 269 nucleotides. The record is from the annotation of a GenBank genome assembly. Lineage: Eukaryota; Metazoa; Cnidaria; Anthozoa; Malacalcyonacea; Plexauridae.
UUGUAAACAAACUGACGUUUAUCGAAUUUACAUGUAGCCAUAAAAACGUCUUUAUAUUAUUUAUAAUUGCACGGUUUCACGACAGACUGUAACUUUAUAAAAACGUUUUUCUUAUAUAAUAUAAUUUGUAGUUUUGUAUAUUCUGUAAUGAUCAACGCUGGCUUAAUUAAAUUGCCAAAUUGUAGUAUUAAUGUAAACGUAAUUACAAUUCGUGAAAUUAGGUUUAGGUUUCUGGGUUAACCGGUUAAAAUCCCAGAGCAUGUGUGUAC